AGGCAGUGUAACGUUAGCUGGU
RNAcentral lists this microRNA (22 nucleotides) under Callorhinchus milii (elephant shark). Its description in RNAcentral is "Cmi-Mir-34-P3c_5p (mature (guide))". The record is from RNAcentral. Lineage: Eukaryota; Metazoa; Chordata; Chondrichthyes; Chimaeriformes; Callorhinchidae. RNAcentral also lists the same sequence under 1 other name.